RNAcentral lists this ribosomal RNA (433 nucleotides) under uncultured bacterium. Its description in RNAcentral is "partial 16S ribosomal RNA". It matches the Rfam family "Bacterial small subunit ribosomal RNA", at positions 29 to 507 of the family's 1533-position model. The record is from RNAcentral.
AACGAACGCUGGCGGCAUGCCUAACACAUGCAAGUCGAACGAAACCUUCGGGUCUAGUGGCGCACGGGUGCUUAACGCGUGGGAACCUGCCCUUAGGUUCGGAAUAACUCCCCGAAAGGGGUCCUAAUACCGGAUAAUGUCUUCGGACCAAAGAUUUAUCGCCUUUGGAUGGGCCCGCGUUGGAUUAGCUAGUUGGUAGGGUAAAAGCCUACCAAGGCGACGAUCCAUAGCUGGUCUGAGAGGAUGAUCAGCCACACUGGGACUGAGACACGGCCCAGACUCCGACGGGAGGCAGCAGUGGGGAAUAUUGGACAAGGGGCGAAAGCCUGAUCAAGCAAUGCCGCGUGAGUGAUGAAGGCCUUAGGGUUGUAAAGCUCUUUUACCCGGGAUGAUAAUGACAGUACCGGGAGAAGAAGCUCCGGCUAACUCCGUG